Molecule: long non-coding RNA, 3025 nt
Filed under: Pomacea canaliculata
Lineage: Eukaryota; Metazoa; Mollusca; Gastropoda; Architaenioglossa; Ampullariidae
Description: uncharacterized LOC112576254
Source: RNAcentral
UCGCCAUAUCAAGCUCGUCUUCCCGUUGUUUGGAGUACUUAUCGCAUCAUGAUCAUCGUGAUAAUCCUGUCAUCGUAUGAGCCGACAGCGCUUGCCAGGGUCUCUAGGAAGAUUUUUUAGGAAACCAUGAAGUCGGUUUUUACUGUUAUAACAUUGCAAUAGUUAUGUAACAAUUACUUAAUUGGGUUUUUCUCGCGAAGGGAAUACCCGAGGAUGACAAGAUCCACUAAUAUAUUUGUGGAUGACAUACUGAACUCAGUCUCUACUCCUGUGAAGGUGGGAGACCUGAAGUCAGUUGUUGUAAUAACUGCCACAGACUCACCUUGAAAUCGUCCUGUCACAAGGAUCUUCACACUUCUACAGCACACCUGGACUCUCAGGACAGUGACUGAUGAACUUUACAUCGUCUUCGCUUGUUGUGGAGGCUCUGUACACGUGAAUGAUUUCUCUUAUGAGGAGGUUUACCAUCCUCUCCUUGCUCUUCAUACAGGUUCUCAGGAGCCAAAAUGGCCAGACAACAUGUGAUAUUCCAUCGGUUGAAGAAAAUCAGUCAACUUAUCUUACUUGUUACUAUACGAUUGACUUGCUUCUUGUGAGAAAGAACUUUGCUGUGUUCUAUUAUGUCAAUAAAGACGAGAAGCCAGAAAACGUUGUUGAUUGUAUCUGGAGAGGGCUGAUCCUGAACCAAAAUGCCAAGGUUUCCAGAGGCUUCCAGACGCCCGAACUUAAGGGGAGCGAAGUCAGAAUCCUUCUACAGAAAGCGUCUUCUUCAAACGUGGGAGAGUACUCCUGCACGGCAGAAGAUUCGUUUCCACCCAAUUCCAAGAGGUGUUUGUUUUCUUUGUUGCAGCCAGGCUCUACCACAGUCGCACCAUCCGCUCAGACGGAGCAGUCGCCGAUAAUCCCCAAUCCAAGACAGUACAACAGAUGAAGGGACAGACAAGUCCUCAGGAACAUCAGCUCCGGACUCUAUGUCACGUGUCAUCGAAGGAAUCAUCGUCCUGUUAUUCACAUUAUCAUUUAUUGCGCUCAUCUAUUUCUGAAGCCCUUUAACAAGGAUGGACUGACUGAACAGUGAAUGAAAGUAAAACUGCGGGUAAUAAGAAAUAAAGGCCGUCGUUGUGCAAUAUCUUAGGAGACGACAGAUUCCUUUGUUUUGUUAUUAAUCUUUUUCUUUCUGAAGGCUGCCGUCAUUGUUGACAGUUUUCUGAAAAUAAUAGCCGCUUAAUAGGAUUAAGGGGAACUGGCUUAGCGAGCAAGGACGAACACAAAAGCUUGGGAUUGAGAAGAAAAUGCUGAAAUAAAGAGAUAAAGGGGUUUGAGGAAGACGACCUAGGAAGGUGUUAAGAGUAUUUAAGAGAGGAGAAUGAGGAUGGACACUUUGAAAAAGACAGAAGCAAACAGGUAAAACUGAAACACGGGGCAAAGGUUUCUUGAUCAUUGGACGAAUACUUUACUACCUUUCCAAUCUUCCUUGCCUUAACCAGAUAACAAGGGAUUUUUUUUUUUUUUUUUGAAAACUAAAUUAAUUCUCUAACCUUGACAUAUUAUUAAUCUUUUCGCCAUUGAGUCAUUUUGUAUUUUGUAUUCAUUGUUACUACUAUUCCUACUAUUUUUGUUCUUCUUUAUCCUUCAGUGUUCUUGCUUAUGAUCUUCCUGAUCUUUUUAUUAUUCUUGUUCCUGCUAUUCUUGCUAUUAGUUUUCUGUUAAACUUGCCAUUCUUAUCCUUGUUUUUUCUUUCUAUAUUAUUCUCUCUUUUUUUCCCCUUGCUGCUGUUUUUCUGCUAAUGAUUCUUCUGCUUUUUCUUCUCCCAACUAUUCUUCUACUGCUGUUCUCGUUAUUCAUCAUCUUGCUAUUCUUUUCUCUGCUGUUCUUCGCUCAGCUAUUCUUCCUCUUGCUGUUAUUCUUCAUGCUAUUUUUCUUGCUCUUCUUCAUCUUCGUACUUUCUUCUUCCUUCUUGUUCUUCCUCGUCUUGGUCUCUUUUCCUCCUUUUCUUACUUUUUGUGGUCUUUUUCUCUGUUUUUCUUUCUUUCUUUCCUUCCAUUUCUUCUUACUUUGAUAAUAAUUUCAACUACAGUUUGAUAGUUAUGGUAAUCAUGGAGGUCUGGGUCAAAAAAAUGCAUCUAGCGGCUGUCCACCUUUGAUGUGUGUGAACUGAGCUCGAGUCUUCCGACAAUAAAACCACUGACAAGGGCAGACAACACAGAUCUCGCGAAUCCCCCACACGCGAACGAGAAGAGCCUGUCCCUCCCAGCUCCCACCCCAAGGAGCUCUUCUGUCUCUCACUUCUCUUUCAGUGCCGGCCAUGUCUGGGCGUGGCCUUAUGACUGAGGUUGUCUUUGGCGGCACAUCUACCACGCACGCCCUCUCUCGGCGCGUGUCUCGCAAAGGAUUAUGGGGUGGGGUUAAAGAACGGCAACUCCUCGACCACUGGCAAAAAAAAAGUAAAUCUCUUUGUGGGACUAACAUUUUUCUGCUGAUGUUGGCAAAACUUGCACGUGAUUACUUUGGACCACACGGGACCCGGGGGUGAAGGGAUCUGGGUGUGACUUACCGUGGGUGUCUCGGUGGCACUGUGUCGGAGGGAUGCGGAGGAUUCACUUCAAGUGUCCACUUUGCACAAAUCAUAUCGUCAACAAAACCUUGCCAGCUUGGAGUGGCUAGCUGUCUGUGGCAAAUAAAUCACACCUAGAAGACCUGCUAGAUAGCACCCUACAAGUUUUUCUUCUCUUCUUUUUCUUCCUCUCUCUCUCCCUCCCUACCCCUCCUUUCUAUCUCUGUCUCAUCUCUCUGUCGCUCUCCAUCCACUUUUUUUUGUUAGUACGUACUAGAACUGUUUCUUCUUGAUGAUAUAGGGCAGUCUGGGUAAAGCAAGAAAUUUCCCUCAAAUUCAACUGCUGAAUGCCUAUACCAGAGAAAGGGGCAGUGUAGGGGUAGAACCUCCAGCAGCAACGACCUCUCCCGGUCUUGAGGUUUGUUUAUCUGAAAACUAUGACAUUCCCACCCAUAUACAAUGGUCUCCACU